Long non-coding RNA from Choloepus didactylus (southern two-toed sloth), 884 nucleotides. RefSeq lists it as uncharacterized. The transcript is spliced from 2 exons. The record is from RefSeq and is a predicted model, not a curated record. Lineage: Eukaryota; Metazoa; Chordata; Mammalia; Pilosa; Megalonychidae.
GGUGUGGGAGAGGAGGGAGGCCGAGCGGGAGGGCCGGAGAGAAGCGGGCGGAGAGGUGCUCCGCGGUGCUCCAGCCAGGGCCGCGGUGCGCCUGCACGUCACCGCUACUCAAAACCAAGCACGUCCCGAAAGCGGUAUUUUCUGCGUCUGGGAGGUUUUUGCAUCCUCAGUUCCCACCGCUAGGGCUGGCGGCAACCAACUCACCGACCUGUCGCAGCCGGAUAGCUGUCAUUUCAGCAUCGGGGUUCAGACGAAUUGAUCCACUCCGUAGCGGAGGGGGCCUCUCUUAGCUCCGGAACUGCUGCUUGUCUCUGGUUGGAACAAUAGUAGAUUUUUUCUCACCGGGGCUGCAAUUAACAUCUUAUUUGUUCUGGCUAGAGACGAGCUCUGUCAAGACCGCGCUGAAGCGACCGAGGUUGGGCAUCUUGCAUUGCUUUCUGCAUGGCAAUGGGAUCAUGGUUGUGGGGUCUGAACUUUUUGUUGGGGUUGUUGUUGUGUAAUAUAUCUGAUUCUUUUUCAAGUUUCCCUAGUAACAGGUUUUGGGACAGGGGUGAGAAAGACCGAAGAAAGGGGAGGAGAAGCUACCAGAUCCUCGAUUUAUUAGAGAGAAAAGGAUAAAUUUCCACACGUCCUUUAAGUUUUUGCCUCCUGGACAGUUGAAAUAUUUGAUAAACUAGCUUUGGAUACUACUGCAAAGGUCAUUUGCCUCCCGAUUUGUCUCUACUUGUAAACGCAGUUGGUGGUUUGCAAAACAAGUGUUAAAAUAGUUUAAUGAUAUUGUGGGAGGACACCAUAAUGGGUAAUCUGUGCGAAGUGUCCAUGCCUUCCUAAGAUUGAGUUGUUUGAGUAGCAGGAGGAGUUGAAUAAAAAGCAAUUUUCCAUUA